Molecule: ribosomal RNA, 462 nt
Filed under: uncultured bacterium
Lineage: Bacteria
Description: bacterial SSU rRNA
Rfam family: Bacterial small subunit ribosomal RNA
Source: RNAcentral
CAGGCCUAACACAUGCAAGUCGAGCGGAUGACGGGAGCUUGCUCCUUGAUUCAGCGGCGGACGGGUGAGUAAUGCCUAGGAAUCUGCCUGGUAGUGGGGGACAACGUUUCGAAAGGAACGCUAAUACCGCAUACGUCCUACGGGAGAAAGCAGGGGACCUUCGGGCCUUGCGCUAUCAGAUGAGCCUAGGUCGGAUUAGCUUGUUGGUGAGGUAAUGGCUCACCAAGGCGACGAUCCGUAACUGGUCUGAGAGGAUGAUCAGUCACACUGGAACUGAGACACGGUCCAGACUCCUACGGGAGGCAGCAGUGGGGAAUUUUCCGCAAUGGGCGAAAGCCUGACGGAGCAAGACCGCGUGAGGGAAGAAGGUCUGUGGAUUGUAAACCUCUUUUGAUUGGGAAGAAGAACUGACGGUACCAAUCGAAUCAGCCUCGGCUAACUCCGUGCCAGCAGCCGCGGUAA